RNAcentral lists this ribosomal RNA (368 nucleotides) under uncultured eukaryote. RNAcentral describes it as "SSU rRNA". It matches the Rfam family "Eukaryotic small subunit ribosomal RNA", at positions 587 to 972 of the family's 1831-position model. The record is from RNAcentral.
AGCUCCAAUAGCGUAUAUUAUUGAUGUUGCAGUUGAAACGUUCGUAGUCGAACUUUGUGUGCUUGGAUAUUACGGCAACAAUGUUGUUGUAGUAUUUUCAGUACAUAUAAUGUAAUGAGUUACACAUGUUUCAUGUGCUUUCUCUAUUACAUUUUACUUUGAGUGAAUCGGCGUGUUCCACGCAGGCAUGUGCCUUGAACGAUUUACCAUAGCAUAAAUAAAGUAUGGAAUUGUCUUCUUGUAUGUUCAAGGACAUUUCUGAUACAGAUAAGAACGGUUGAGGGCAUUCGUAUUCAACUGCCAGAGGUGAAAUUCUUUGAUUAGUUGAGGACGAACUACGGCGAAAGCAUCUGCCAAGGACGUUUCUG